AUACGGAGGAUCCGAGCGUUAUCCGGAUUUAUUGGGUUUAAAGGGUGCGUAGGUGGUUUGAUAAGUCAGCGGUGAAAGUUUGCAGCUUAACUGUAAAAAUGCCGUUGAAACUGUCGGACUUGAGUGUAAAUGAGGUAGGCGGAAUGCGUGGUGUAGCGGUGAAAUGCAUAGAUAUCACGCAGAACUCCGAUUGCGAAGGCAGCUUACUAAGCUACAACUGACACUGAAGCACGAAAGCGUGGGGAUCAAACAGGAUUAGAUACCCUGGUAGUCCACGCAGUAAACGAUGAUUACUAGCUGUUUGCGAUACACAGUAAGCGGCACAGCGAAAGCGUUAAGUAAUCCACCUGGGGAGUACGCCGGCAACGGUGAAACUCAAAGGAAUUGGCGGGG
This 393-nucleotide ribosomal RNA is filed under the name uncultured bacterium. Its description in RNAcentral is "partial 16S ribosomal RNA". It matches the Rfam family "Bacterial small subunit ribosomal RNA", at positions 523 to 918 of the family's 1533-position model. The record is from RNAcentral.